Molecule: ribosomal RNA, 497 nt
Filed under: Waltergamsia fusidioides
Lineage: Eukaryota; Fungi; Ascomycota; Sordariomycetes; Hypocreales; Bionectriaceae
Description: eukaryotic LSU rRNA
Rfam family: Eukaryotic large subunit ribosomal RNA
Source: RNAcentral
CGGCGAGUGAAGCGGCAACAGCUCAAAUUUGAAAUCUGGCUCUCGGGCCCGAGUUGUAAUUUGUAGAGGAUGUUUCUGGCGACGUGUCUUCCGAGUUCCCUGGAACGGGACGCCAUAGAGGGUGAGAGCCCCGUCCGGUCGUACGCCUAGCCUCUGUGAAACUCCUUCGACGAGUCGAGUAGUUUGGGAAUGCUGCUCAAAAUGGGAGGUAUACGUCUUCUAAAGCUAAAUACCGGCCAGAGACCGAUAGCGCACAAGUAGAGUGAUCGAAAGAUGAAAAGCACUUUGAAAAGAGGGUUAAAUAGUACGUGAAAUUGCUGAAAGGGAAGCGCUCAUGACCAGACUUGGGCUCGGUGAAUCAUCCGGCGUUCUCGCCGGUGCACUUUGCCGGCCCAGGCCAGCAUCAGCUCGCCUCGGGGGAUAAAGGCUUCGGGAAUGUAGCUCCCUCGUGGAGUGUUAUAGACCGUUGCGUAAUACCCUGGGGCGGGCUGAGGUAC